This is a long non-coding RNA of Trifolium pratense (red clover), 679 nucleotides long. RefSeq lists it as uncharacterized. The record is from RefSeq and is a predicted model, not a curated record. Lineage: Eukaryota; Viridiplantae; Streptophyta; Magnoliopsida; Fabales; Fabaceae. The transcript is spliced from 2 exons.
AAUUUAUAGAUAAGAUUGCAUUAAUAAACACCAAGCACAUCUCUCUCCUUCCCUCCAUAUAUAUAGAGCAUACAUCCAUACUAAUUUUCUCACACCUUUACUAUCAUAUUCUAAGUUUAAUAUUGAUAUUGAUAUUGAACAAUGAAUUCCAAAAAUGCAAUGCUCAUCCUAGGUCUCUUGGCCAUGAUUCUUCUUAUCUCUUCAGAAGUUUCAGCUAGAGACUUAACUGAAACUUCCACCGAUACCAAAAAGGAUGUUGUUGAACAGACUGAUGGAUUAAAUAAUGCACUUUUUCCUGCUAUAAAGUUCCCACCUAUAAAACCCCCCAAACCUCCUCGUGGUAAUGGUUGCGGCCAAAAAGGUUGUUGUGGUAGGAUCAACCUAGGAUUUUAUUGCUCAACGUGUUGCUGAUAUAUGCUGGUGAUGCUGUUGAUGUGCAAGUUGAAGGCAACACUCAUGAUGCACUUUCUUAAUUACUACUACAUUAUAAAUAAAUGUCAUGAAUAAAUCAUGUUGUGUGUUUAUCAAGAGAAGCUAGCAUAGAUAGACUUCAAUCUCUGUUGUUGUGCAUCUUGCCACUCUAUAAUAGAUAUUUUCAUAAGUGGAAAUCAUGUAUAAAUAAAUAUACAUAUGUGUUAUCAUAUGUAUUAUAUCAAAUAUCAUUGUUGUUUAUGCUUUC